GAAUCUGCCCUCAGGAGGGGGAUAACAGUUGGAAACGACCGCUAAUACCCCAUAUGCCGAGAGGUGAAAUGAAAUUCGCCUGAGGAUGAGCUCGCGUCUGAUUAGCUAGUUGGUAAGGUAAUGGCUUACCAAGGCAUUGAUCAGUAGCUGGUCUGAGAGGAUGAUCAGCCACACUGGGACUGAGACACGGCCCAGACUCCUACGGGAGGCAGCAGUGGGGAAUUUUCCGCAAUGGGCGCAAGCCUGACGGAGCAACGCCGCGUGAGGGAUGAAGGCCUCUGGGCUGUAAACCUCUUUUAUCAAGGAAGAAGAACUGACGGUACUUGAUGAAUAAGCCACGGCUAAUUCCGUGCCAGCAGCCGCGGUAAUACGGGAGUGGCAAGCGUUAUCCGGAAUUAUUGGGCGUAAAGCGUCCGCAGGCGGUUUUACAAGUCUGUCGUUAAAGCGUGGAGCUCAACUCCAUUUCAGCGAUGGAAACUGUAAGACUCGAGUGUGGUAGGGGCAGAGGGAGUUCCCGGUGUAGCGGUGAAAUGCGUAGAUAUCGGGAAGAACACCAGUGGCGAAAGCGCUCUGCUGGGCCAUAACUGACGCUCAUGGACGAAAGCCAGGGGAGCG
Molecule: ribosomal RNA, 615 nt
Filed under: uncultured Synechococcus sp.
Lineage: Bacteria; Bacillati; Cyanobacteriota; Cyanophyceae; Synechococcales; Synechococcaceae
Description: bacterial SSU rRNA
Rfam family: Bacterial small subunit ribosomal RNA
Source: RNAcentral